Molecule: small nuclear RNA, 111 nt
Organism: Saimiri boliviensis boliviensis (Bolivian squirrel monkey)
Lineage: Eukaryota; Metazoa; Chordata; Mammalia; Primates; Cebidae
Source: RefSeq, a predicted model, not a curated record
GUUUUCUAUGAUCAUUUUGGCAAUACAUAUGCUAAAAUUAGAAUGACACAAAGAUAAACAUGGCCUCUGCACAAGGAUGACAUGCAAAUUCAUGAAGCAUUCCAUAAUUUU